RNAcentral lists this unclassified non-coding RNA (347 nucleotides) under soil metagenome. RNAcentral's name for it is "partial contains 5.8S ribosomal RNA, internal transcribed spacer 2, and large subunit ribosomal RNA". The stretch from base 1 to 120 matches the Rfam family "5.8S ribosomal RNA", at positions 35 to 154 of the family's 154-position model. The record is from RNAcentral.
GAUGAAGAACGUAGUGAAAUGCGAUAAUUAAUGUGAAUUGCAGAAUUCAGUGAAUCAUCGAGUCUUUGAACGCACAUUGCGCCCCCUGGUAUUCCGGGGGGCAUGCCUGUCCGAGCGUCAUUGCUGCCCUCAAGCACGGCUUGUGUGUUGGGCUUCCGUCCCUGGCAACGGGGACGGGCCCAAAAGGCAGUGGCGGCACCAUGUCUGGUCCUCGAGCGUAUGGGGCUUCGUCACCCGCUCCCGUAGGUCCAGCUGGCAGCUAGCCUCGCAACCAAUCUUUUUAACCAGGUUGACCUCGGAUCAGGUAGGGAUACCCGCUGAACUUAAGCAUAUCAAUAAGCGGAGGA